GUAGGUGAACCUGCGGAGGGAUCAUUACACAAAUAUGAAAGCAGACCCUCAUUGGGGCGUAACGUCGCGCCGUGUCCGCAACGGCAUAUUGCUGUUGUGCUGACGCGGCGGGGAGGUACGCCCUUUUGGGCCAGUCUGACUCCAUAUUCACCCAUGUCUUUUGCGUACUACUUGUUUCCUUGGCGGGUUCGCCCGCCAAUUGGACCCAAUUAAACCUUUUUUGUAAUUGCAAUCAGCGUCAGCAAAACAAUGUAAUAAAUUACAACUUUCAACAACGGAUCUCUUGGUUCUGGCAUCGAUGAAGAACGCAGCGAAAUGCGAUAAGUAGUGUGAAUUGCAGAAUUCAGUGAAUCAUCGAAUCUUUGAACGCACAUUGCGCCCUUUGGUAUUCCAAAGGGCAUGCCUGUUCGAGCGUCAUUUGUACCCUCAAGCUUUGCUUGGUGUUGGGCGUUUUUGUCUCGGGUCCGCCCCGAGACUCGCCUUAAAAUCAUUGGCAGCCGGCCUACUGGUUUCGGAGCGCAGCACAUUUUUGCGCUCUGUCCAGUUGUGGUUUGCGUCCAUGAAGCGAAUAUUUUCAACGUUUGACCUCGGAUCAGGUAGAG
Molecule: ribosomal RNA, 602 nt
Filed under: Drechslera sp. JTO396b
Lineage: Eukaryota; Fungi; Ascomycota; Dothideomycetes; Pleosporales; Pleosporaceae
Description: eukaryotic LSU rRNA
Rfam family: 5.8S ribosomal RNA (bases 264-417)
Source: RNAcentral